GGGAAAGACCGGACCACAAGGGUCUAUUGUACGCAGCCUUGCCCUGCAUUUCUGCAAGAGGUUGUUUCCACAGCUCGAACCCGUGACCUCCUUGUCAUAUGGAGGCAACUUUACCGGUUACGCCAAGGCUCCCCUUACCUCAUAAGUUAUAACUAAAAGGAUAAUUUCACAGAGAUAGUGGCAUACUACUAAAGCAAUGCUCAAGUUAGCUUUUAACAACUGAAAUAGUACAUGAGAUAUAAGUGACAGUCAAUUCCAUAACAACUAAAACACAAAGCACCAUGGUCAGACCCAAUUUUCAACUACACUUGGUGAAAUUUACAAUUCUUGAAA
Molecule: long non-coding RNA, 333 nt
Filed under: Nicotiana tabacum (common tobacco)
Lineage: Eukaryota; Viridiplantae; Streptophyta; Magnoliopsida; Solanales; Solanaceae
Description: long non-coding RNA (NTAB_LNC003191)
Source: RNAcentral